RNAcentral lists this long non-coding RNA (8590 nucleotides) under Populus tremula. RNAcentral describes it as "long non-coding RNA (PTRE_LNC001978)". The record is from RNAcentral. Lineage: Eukaryota; Viridiplantae; Streptophyta; Magnoliopsida; Malpighiales; Salicaceae.
GGCACGUCUGGUCCACGCGCUGCCGCCACUGGCGGCGCGUGGACCCACGCGCCACCACGAAAAGACUGGGACAGGGGAGAUUCCGAAACGGCUUCCUCCCCUCUUCACUUUCCUCGCCAGCGGCGACAACGCCGUUACCUGCAAAACAAACAAAAACGCAGCAAGCAAGUCUUUCUUUAUUUUCAAUCUGGCUUCUCUUCCUUCAGAUCUGCCAAGUCUGGAGCCGGGCGUGUGGAUGGCUGGAUCGGCAUCUUCCCUCCUCCCAUUUCAUUUCUGCAACGGCGGUGUUGUCCACCGCUGCCAUGGUUGUGAGAUCGGCGCCCAUCCAAGCUUCGGUUUUCUGCCCCUUCUUCACUGUCCUCUGGCCUCCCUUCUCAUUUCCUCGCCGUAUCCGUAAUGAGCUGCUGGGGAAGGGACGAUGCUGCUGUUGGCCGGUUGAUGGUGGUUGGCCGAGAGAGGAAGGCGCUGCUGUUUCUGGGGAAGAUGGGGGCGGCUGAGAGAUGAGGGGCUGCUGUGUUUGGCCGGUUGGAGAAGAAACGACUGAGAGGGGUUUAUGUGGGAGGGAGACGGUGGAGAGGGAGUGUUGGCUGUGCUGGGUUAUUGUUGCUUGUGGUCAGAUGAAGAGAGUAAGGGGGAGAUGAUUCAGUGGCUGCGAUGGUCUGGUGGAGGUGGGGUUUUCGGGAGGCUGAGGAAGAAAAGAAAAAAUGGCUUUUGAGGGGGGCUGUCGGCUGUGUUUUGGCCGGUUGAGGGAGAAGAAGUGGGGGCCGACGUGCAGGGGAGGUUGGUGUCGGCUGGGAGAAGAAAAAAAAUGGCUUCGGGGUGGAGCUGUGUGUGGGGGAAGGAAGAAGAGAAAAAUCAAAAAUCAAAGGGGUGGGGGGCUCCGGCGUUUUGCCUCUCGUGAGGGAGAAGAAGAAAAGUUUCAAACCUGGGGGUUGCUGGCGGCUCCUCUUCCAGUCAGGGAUAAAAAAAAACCAAGCUUUUCUUAGGGUUUUUUCUUUUGUGUUGCCUCCCCUAAAUUACAAAAUCGCCCCCUCCCUUUUCUUUGAGUUUUCAACCCAUAUUUAUAGGUGAAAUUUUGUUCAAGCCUCCAAAUUGGUCCCUCAUUUUUUUUUUAUUGUUUUCUUGUAUUUUUUAAAAACGAGCAAUAUCAACGUCGAUUCAACGAGGAAAAUCAAUGAUUUUAAAAAUGACGCGUGAAAAGUCGAACGCGUUUGAAAAUCUUUUUUUUAAAAAAUUAAAAUUCUUUUUUUUAGACGACGUUGAAAAUGCUAAAAUGACGAAAAUAUAUUAAAAAACAUAUUUUUUUGGAUUUUCUUUGUUUUUCUCUAUUAUUGGAUUUUUCAAAAAAUUUAUUAAAAAGAUGGGUCAAAAAUUGGGUAACAACAGAUGCCCCCUCUUUACAAUGCUUACGAAGCAAAACUCCUCAAUGUUUUGCAUAGUAAGCUUUGUAAAGAAGUGGUCUAUUUUCAGGGGCGACUGGCCCACACAAUCACACUGGUCUACUUUCACGGGCGACCUGCCCACACAUACUCACUCUGGUCUGUUUUCAGGGGCGACCUGCCCACACACUCACACUAGUCUAUUUUCACGGGCGACCUUCCCUUUUGAUUGGGUUUUCGGUGUGUAGCUCGAUCAACCUGAAAUCCCAUCUAGUGAUUCUGCGUGAUUAAGCUAAACUGAGAUCCCUUCGCCGAUCCCCUUUAACCAUAACCAAGGUCUGUGUGGUUAGACUGAACUGAGAUCCCUUCGCCGAUCCCCUUCAACCAGAACCAAAAUCCUUUCCAAUUAGGUUAAACUGAGAUCCCUUUGUCGAUCCCCUUUCACCAUAACCAAGGUCUGUGUGGUUAGACUGAACUGAGAUCCCUUCGUCGAUCCCCUUCAACCAGAACCAAAAUCCUUUCCAAUUAGGUUAAACUGAGAUCCCUUUGUCGAUCCCUUUUAACCAUAACCAAGGUCUGUGUGGUUAGACUGAACUGAGAUCCCUUCGUCGAUCCCCUUCAACCAGAACCAAAAUCCUUUCCAAUUAGGUUAAACUGAGAUCCCUUUGCCGAUCCCCUUUAACCAUAACCAAGGUCUGUGUGGUUAGACUGAACUGAGAUCCCUUCGCCGAUCCCCUUCAACCAGAACCAAAAUCCUUUCCAAUUAGGUUAAACUGAGAUCCCUUUGUCGAUCCCCUUUAACCAUAACCAAGGAAUUGUAGGGUUGGGCUAGACUGAGAUUCCUUUCGGCAAUCCCCUCUAACCAGAACCAAAAUCCUUUCCAAUUAGGUUAAACUGAGAUCCCUUUGCCGAUCCCCUUUAACCAUAACCAAGGAAUUGUAGGGUUGGGCUAGACUGAGAUUCCUUUCGGCAAUCCCCUCUAACCAGAACCAAAAUCCUUUCCAAUUAGGUUAAACUGAGAUCCCUUCGUCGAUCCCCUUUAACCAUAACCAAGGAAUGUGUAGGGUUGGGCUAGACUGAGAUUCCUUUCGGCAAUCCCCUCUAACCAGAACCAAAAUCCUUUCCAAUUAGGUUAAACUGAGAUCCUUUGCCGAUGCCCUUUAACCAUAACCAAGGAAUGUGUGGUUGGGCUGAACUGAGACCCCUUCGCCGAUCCCCUUCAACCAGAACCAAAAUCCUUUCCAAUUAGGUUAAACUGAGAUCCCUUCGUCGAUCCCCUUUAACCAUAACCAAGGAAUGUGUAGGGUUGGGCUAGACUGAGAUUCCUUUCGGCAAUCCCCUCUAACCAGAACCAAAAUCCUUUCCAAUUAGGUUAAACUGAGAUCCCUUUGCCAAUUCCCUUUAACCAUAACCAAAGAAUGUGUAGGGUUGGGCUAGACUGAGAUUCCUUUCGACAAUCCCCUCUAACCAGAACCAAAAUCCUUUCAAUUAGGUUAAACUGAGAUCCCUUCGUCGAUCCCCUUUAACCAUAACCAAGGAAUGUGUAGGGUUGGGCUAGACUGAGAUUCCUUUCGGCAAUCCCCUCUAACCAGAACCAAAAACCUGUGUGUUGUUGGGAUAGACUGAGAUUCCAUUCGGCAAUCUCCUCUAACCAGAACCAAAAACCUGUGUGUGGUUGGGAUAGACUGAGAUUCCUUUCGGCAAUCCCCUCUAACCAGAACCAAAAUCCUUUCCAAUUAGGUUAAACUGAGAUCCCUUUGCCAAUGCCCUUUAACCAUAACCAAGGAAUGUGUAGGGUUGGGCUAGACUGAGAUUCCUUUCGACAAUCCCCUCUAACCAGAACCAAAAUCCUUUCAAUUAGGUUAAACUGAGAUCCCUUCGUCGAUCCCCUUUAACCAUAACCAAGGAAUGUGUAGGGUUGGGCUAGACUGAGAUUCCUUUCGGCAAUCCCCUCUAACCAGAACCAAAAACCUGUGUGUUGUUGGGAUAGACUGAGAUUCCAUUCGGCAAUCUCCUCUAACCAGAACCAAAAACCUGUGUGUGGUUGGGAUAGACUGAGAUUCCUUUCGACAAUCCCCUCUAACCAGAACCAAAAUCCUGUGUGUGAUUGGGAUAGACUGAGAUUGCUUUCGACAAUCCCCUCUAACCAGAACCGAAAUCCUGUGUGUAGCUCGGUCAACCUGAAAUCCCAUCUAGCGAUUCCCUUUAACCAAAGCUACAUGAGAUCCCAUCUGGCAACCUCAUUUAACCAAAACAAAAGAAUGUAAAAAAGAAAACGGUCUUAUUGUAAUGGGUGACCUACCCAGGUGGAAAGAAUAUGAAAAAUGGUCUCAUUAUGAUGGGUGACCUACCUAGAUGGAAAGAAUAUGAAGUGCGGUCUUAUUAUAAUGGGUGACCUACCCAAAUAGAAAAAAUAUGAAGUGUGGUCUCAUUGUAAUGGGUGACCUACCUAGAUGGAAAAAAUAUGAAGAAGUGCGGUCUCAUUGUCAUGGGUGACCUACCCAGAUGGAAAAAUAUGAAGUGUGGUCUCAUUGUAAUGGGUGACCAACCCAAGUGGAAGAUGUGAUAUGACAAGUGUGAAAAAUAGGACUUACCUGGCGAAGUUGAGGGGAUGACAGAAGAAGGGCUGGAAAACUUGGUGCUUCCUGAUAAUUCCCGAUCAUAGGGUUUGAAAACUCGUGUUUCCUGACUGCAAGGGUUGAAAACUCGAGGCUUCCCGAUUGCAAGGUUGAUCUUUCAUUUCUUUGGGAUUUCCUAAUGGUAGGGUUCAUCCCAUCUUCCUUUUAUUCCAUGAUCAAAAACUCUUUAUUAUCAUCACCACAAUGCUUCUUUCUUUUUCCACCAUCUUGCUGGACCUCAUUAAGGAUUUUCCUGUAACAAUUCAAAAAUAUGUGCAAAUGGUUUUUUUUUUUUUUGAGGUUAGAUGAUAUGCAUGCAUCCUUACCUGAUUUGAAAUAUAGGUCCCCCCUCUUUGAUGCUCCAUCGUCAUAGGGUGCCCUUGUUUGUAUCCCAAAGCUUUCUUUGUUCUUCCGAUGCAUUGGCUCAUUCAUGUGCUAGCCAUCCACUCAGCUGUAAAUGCAGUGCCCAUCCCGGGCUGUCUUCGACAAUUACUGCUUGCAUCGUUCAUCAAGCUUGACCCUGCCCCCAAGUGUGGUACUGCUUGAUUCAUCAUGAAGGAUUUUCUCUCCUGGCUUCUUCUGAGAAUUAUCCUCUGAUUGAUUGUGUGCAUCAUGCCAAUACCCAUCAGAUUGUUAAUCAGUCAUGAACUUGCCUCUAGUUGAAACAAUACUCUUCAAGUACAUGUUAUCAUCAGCCUUCUUGGAACUCAUCAGUCAUCCAGACAUGCAUCUCAUAGCUUGCAGUACAAAGGCUCAUGGUUGUAUGCUCAGUGCUCUUCUCAUAGAUUCCUUUCAACUCUUCUAAUCAGAUUGUGAAAAGAAAUGUCUCAGCCUCAUCAAUGAUGCUGCUUUUUAUCACCCAUACUCAUGCGGUGAAGCGCUCAUCUGGCUUCAGAACAAGUUGUCCCACAAUCAGUCUUCGAGGUGGGUGCCUUUCCGACAUUCAUUCAGUGCAGUUGUGUGAACAUCUGUCUAUAACCAUGUUUCAAAGAAUGACAAUAUGAGAUUGUCCUUUAAGUGCAGCAUUGUUCCACAGUCAGUCUUGGUGGUGUGCAUCUUUUCACCAUUCAAUUACAUUCAUCUGUGUAUCUUCAUCGAUUGCUAGCCAUGUUUCAAAAGAUGAUGAUAUGAAAGUGUCCUUCAAGUACAUCCUUGUUUCUCCAUUGCCGACAGGGUUCACUAGAGCAUGGGCCAUUUUGGAAUGACAUUGCCCCCAGUAUGAUCUGAAUGUGCUCGUUCAUUGAUUAUCUGUCUUUGAACAUCAUUGUCUUCAGUUCACUGAUUCAUCAUUUAAUCAUUGCCUCAUAGCUGAUCUGAGCAUUGCUUGUUUUUCCUUUUCAAGGUCUACUGUAUUGCCCCCAGCUGCUCAACUUUUCAAGGAGUGUCGAGGACUUCAAUGUCAUUUCUAUCAACGAUUUUGCAUACUCAAUCAAUGUUCUUCUGUGUUUGAUAAUCUUCCUUGUUCUGGAAUCAACUCUCAUAUUUCAAAGAUCAUGUCUAUUCAAAGUCUAGUUUGUUGAAAUGAAAUCAGAGAUGUCCUUUUUGAAAAUCUUUUGAAAAUCAAGCUUUUUGAUCAAAGACCCAACACACGUUAUUCGAAAUACACAGUCCUUUGAUUGUCUUGUAUUUUGAAAACAGAAAUGACCCGUUGUAGAUUAAAAUGGUUUUUCCAUGGUUCUUUUGUAUCAUUUAAACUCUGAUUUGGGUAUUUUUGAUGGUCUAUGAUGAGGUGACCUUUUAUGAAUUUCAAAAACAAGAUGCUCAGGCUUUAUCAAGAAAGGUUUUCUUAGCAUUUAUUUUAUCAGCAUGCAUAAUAACCAGUAGCUUAAUUCAUGAAGUCACGACCCUUAUGGAAAAGCUCUUCAAGUUUUGAGAGCGCCAUUUAUCGGUUCAAAUUGCUUGCUUGAUUAAAAAGGGCUUUUAAAAAGCACGUAAUGCAGGCUAUGGUUCAUGGCUAUGAAAGAAAGGAAUUUCAAAGGCUCAAAAGGUGUUUGAGGGUUUCAAAGACCUAGGAUCAACAUCAACUUUCUCUAUUGUUGUCUUUGUAGAGGAAACGACAUAUAACCUUGUUAACCUCAAAGUUCAGACUUUUCUUAACAUAAGUCAUAAUGCAAAUCCACCUUUCCUUGAUGAAUAACCAACCUUAAUCAUCUGAUAACAUCGUAGGCUUUAUAAUGGAUACCAAAAGUCACGUUUAGUCUUUUUUCUGGUAUUGACUUUUGUUGUGUCUUUCCUUGAUUGAAAUUUCUUUUGCUCUUUAUAGACUUGAUAGGCGUUCUCCUUCCUUUAUCUUUGACUUGUAUUUAAGUGAGGGCAAUUUCAACUUCCUUUUUUUCAUUCUCUUUUUUUUUCAUAGCCUUCCUCAAAAUUUUCUUAUAUGCCCCUAGUCUAUGUGUUUUCUUCUAGCUCUCUCUCAAUCAUUGGACUUUUGUUCUAAGCCUUCUUUAUCCAUUAAUUAUAUCAAUGUCUCCAAAAUAUCUCUCAUUUGCCCCCAGUGUGGGGUGUGAUCCUAGUCAGGGUUUUUUUUUAUGAAAAUAUUUUAUCCAGCUCAAAAUGGGACUACAAGGGAUAUAAUCUUUAGAAAGUGAAGGGAUAUCAAAGAUGGCCUUUUCUCAUUUCAAGCAAGGUCGGUUAGAACCGAUAAAUUUUGACCUCAUCCAGUGUAAUGAUUGGACUUGUAAGAAUCAUGAUUCACGAGUCCAUAACUACCGAAUCCACUACAUGUCAUUAUGCAUACUGUUAAAACUUAGCUAUAUGAUGUGUGGUUCAGUUUCAGGAGGUAUGAGUUCAAAAUUGUUUAGUCACCUCAUGUCAUUUUCAACAUCGAGUCAUUUCUGUAAUCAAAACACUUUUAAUCUUGGAUUGAUUACCUUUAUCGCAUGUUGGAGUUUGAUCAAAAUAUUUUGUCAGAAUAAAAUGCUAAACAUCUGUUGAUUUCAAAACAACAAAAAGACAAAAGCAAGGCAUGUUUCGUUGAAGGAUGAGAUGUGAUCCAAAACAAAAUGCAGAAUUCCAUAACAAUAUGAUUGACAGUUCAUCCAUUCUUGAAUCAGCUUUUCUGGCAAUAUCUGUGUUUUUCCAAGCACUUUGGAUCACAUGUCAUUCUGAAGAUGUUCGGGGAACAAUAUAGCCAAUGACACCAUCCUUCACUGACUCGACUUGUCUCUUGCUCACCAACUUGCAGAGCCAUAAAUGGAUUUUUGUAGAGGGAGCUCUUCCCCAGUGGAGUCGCCAUUCUGUCGCACGUCAAAAAAAAUCCGCACGCGGCAUCGAUUGGCGAUUAUUCGUUCUGUUUUGUUGAUUUGGUUCUUUGGAGUCGCCACCUAGUAAUUCAUUAAGGGCUACUAGGAAACCUGAUGUACUGGUCUUGUCAGAGAUCUUGGGUAAGGGACUGGUUGUGGUUAGGGAAGGUAUUAGCACCCCUAACGCACCCUACCUGAGGUAAGCUGCUUUGUCGACUUGAUGUGUUAAAGAAGUUUUAAAAAUUUUGUUCUUUCAUCGAAUUUUAGAAAAUACAACUUACAUGUAAGUUCAUAAUUCUUUAUCUGUGAUCAAAUCAGAAUAUUAAAUUCUUCUUUAUUCUUGCAAUUUUAUCAUAAUAAUAAUAAAAAAAACAUUCAUAAACAAAAAUACACACAACAUUCACUUUCAAGCUUCGUGGACUUGAUGUGAUAUUAAAAAUAAAAUUUUAGCCCAAUUCUAAGGCUUUGAUAAAUCAGUUAUUACUUUUCCAGACUAUAUGUAGAUACAUGUUCUACAUUUCCAUGGAAAAUUCAACAUGAUUUUUAUCUGUCCUUUAGAUAUUUGUGCAUAUAAAUUAAAUUCCUUUUUUUUUAUUCAAUAACAUACCUAAAAAAAAAACAUACAAGCACACACAAACAUUUCCUUUUUUUUUUAUUUAUCACUUUCUCUUUUCUUUUCUUUUCUUUUUAUUUUACCAUCCCCAUUUCCAUAAUACAAAAAACAAAUUCAAAACCAAAUAAAAAAAUUACAUCAAACAAAUUUUAAAUUACAAAACAGCCCUUAAAAACUCCAGGAAUUGCAGGGGAGCCCUCCAUGCAUGCCAAAACAGUGCUGGCACGUCUGGUCCACGCGCUGCCGCCACUGGCGGCGCGUGGACCCACGCGCCACCACGAAAAGACUGGGACAGGGGAGAUUCGAAACGGCUUCCUCCCCUCUUCACUUUCCUCGCCAGCGGCGACAACGCCGUUACCUGCAAAACAAACAAAAACGCAGCAAGCAAGUCUUUCUUUAUUUUCAAUCUGGCUUCUCUUCCUUCAGAUCUGCCAAGUCUGGAGCCGGGCGUGUGGAUGGCUGGAUCGGCAUCUUCCCUCCUCCCAUUUCAUUUCUGCAACGGCGGUGUUGUCCACCGCUGCCAUGGUUGUGAGAUCGGCGCCCAUCCAAGCUUCGGUUUUCUGCCCCUUCUUCACUGUCCUCUGGCCUCCCUUCUCAUUUCCUCGCCGUAUCCGUAAUGAGCUGCUGGGGAAGGGACGAUGCUGCUGUUGGCCGGUUGAUGGUGGUUGGCCGAGAGAGGAAGGCGCUGCUGUUUCUGGGGAAGAUGGGGGCGGCUGAGAGAUGAGGGGCUGCUGUGUU